UGUGCCAGCCGCCGCGGUAAUACGUAGGGUCCAAGCGUUAAUCGGAAUUACUGGGCGUAAAGCGUGCGCAGGCGGUUGUGCAAGACCGAUGUGAAAUCCCCGAGCUUAACUUGGGAAUUGCAUUGGUGACUGCACGGCUAGAGUGUGUCAGAGGGGGGUAGAAUUCCACGUGUAGCAGUGAAAUGCGUAGAGAUGUGGAGGAAUACCGAUGGCGAAGGCAGCCCCCUGGGAUAACACUGACGCUCAUGCACGAAAGCGUGGGGGGCAAACAGGAUUAGAUACCCUGGUAGUCC
RNAcentral lists this ribosomal RNA (293 nucleotides) under uncultured bacterium. Its description in RNAcentral is "partial 16S ribosomal RNA". It matches the Rfam family "Bacterial small subunit ribosomal RNA", at positions 504 to 796 of the family's 1533-position model. The record is from RNAcentral.